GUCUUUCUGUCUGUCUCCAGUGAGGAGAGCAAUGUGUAUAAUUUGUGCAUAUUUUUAGGAAAAUAAUUUUCCAAAGCUAGAACAACAAAUGUGCAAAAUAAAUAUAUAUAUUUUUAAAUGUACUGUUACAUAUACAUACGUAGGUGUGCCAACAUCUGUCUAUCUUCAGCAUAAUCUGAAGAAAUCAAAAGAACUCCAUUCCUCACCAUCUUUAUGAAUAUUUAGUAACCCAAAAGAGCCAUUUUUAUAGAAACCUAGUAAAACAGUGAACUGCAAAUACAGUAAAUGCUUACAGAAUAUAGGAGGGAAGCUUUAGGUGGGCUUUAAGGAAACUGAUCCAAAUAUGAAGAAUAUAUUUACUGCAUGGCUCAUUAUGCUUUGAAUGAAUAUUCAUCUGACCAAAAAAAAAAAAUCCAUAGUUUUUCUUUCUGUUCUUAACAAAUAAACAUUUUAGGAGUUCAGGUUCCAGAUCCUUACCGUAUUAUUUAAAACUGGAUGAGAUGAUGGUGGAAAAAAAUGGAACCAAAAAGCACCGUACUGUUCUUCAAUUCUGCAGUUUUGAGGAAAAACUGGAUCCUGGGAAUUUUAUUGACGUUCUGAAGUACACUGAGGAGGACUGUAUGAAACUAACGAGACAAUAAAUGCUCUUCUGCAUUGCUUGAAGGGUGUUGCGAGAGCACUGUGUUGUUCACUCUGUUUCUCCCCCUCCCUCAGUCAGUAAGAUGAGAUUACUGCCAGAUGAAGGCAUGAGUUCAUAUUGAAAAAGAAGUUAAAUUGUAUCCCAAGAGAGUCAUAUUUUCAGAACAAACUGAUGCAUCAUUGCGUUCAGUCAAGGCUCAGGUUGGCCACUCCUGAUGUAGACUAUUCAGAUUUCCCAAUAGCCUAUUUAAAAAGGCCGGAAAGGUAGUAUGGAGCGGGAGCAGGAGACCUGGCUGGUCUGAAAAUGUAGUUACCUGCAACAAGUCUACUGUGUAUUUUGGGCAAACGAACAGCAGACUUUCUGGUAGAACAGAAUUGAAGAACGUUUAAUGUUUUAUAAUAAGUGAAUGUUACAGAUGUCUUCAUUGGAUUGGAUUGUGCUCUUCAGUAACUUAUAUCAUGUUUAAAAAUAGUCAAAAUACCAUUUGGAAUUUCAACAUUGUUGGGCUUUGAGGAGAUGUAGCAGCACAUCAUGGUUUGUAGGGACAAGGAGAUACAGACCAUUCUGGGCUGCCUCAUUACCUCAAGGAUAGACAAGAAAGGGAGCUUCUGGGUGUCAGCCGUGGAAGCUACCACAUUCUCAUGUAUCUCUUAGAUCAGUUGAACAGGUAUGUUUAGAUACAUGUUUGUACUGCUUUUACAUGUAUGCUUUCUUUCCAGCCUGCAAAGGUGGAGUAUUGGUUUUAUGCCUUUGGUGAAUCUGCCUAAAACAGGGUCCAGGGAUUUGCAUUAUUCUAAACUGUUGCCCCGAUCACAGGCCAUGUGAUUGUUCAAUAUUUCAUUACCUUCCAAUAUCAGUAAUAGUGUAUUAAGAUGGAGCUAAGUCAUCUUUAAUGUUGUGUCUUCAGUUGACUUACACCAGUUGCAUGUUGCCUGAAGUAAUCCUGCUUCCUGUAGUGUUCAACAUUCUUUCCUCUGGUUAAGACAAAUGACAAAUUAUAGGUACUGUGACAACCA
Dermochelys coriacea (leatherback sea turtle) is the source of this 1656-nucleotide long non-coding RNA. RefSeq lists it as uncharacterized. The transcript is spliced from 5 exons. The record is from RefSeq and is a predicted model, not a curated record. NCBI's taxonomy places the organism in Eukaryota, Metazoa, Chordata, Testudines, Dermochelyidae.